AAGAGACAGCAGUAGCCACGGUAAUUCGUAGGGUGCGAGCGUUAAUCGGAAUUACUGGGCGUAAAGCGUGCGCAGGCGGUUGUGUAAGACAGGUGUGAAAUCCCCGGGCUUAACCUGGGAACUGCGCUUGUGACUGCACAGCUAGAGUAUGGCAGAGGGGGGUGGAAUUCCACGUGUAGCAGUGAAAUGCGUAGAGAUGUGGAGGAACACCGAUGGCGAAGGCAGCCCCCUGGGCCAAUACUGACGCUCAUGCACGAAAGCGUGGGGAGCAAACAGGAUUAGAUACCCCUGUAGUCCCUGUCUCUUAUAC
This 310-nucleotide ribosomal RNA is filed under the name uncultured bacterium. RNAcentral's name for it is "partial 16S ribosomal RNA". It matches the Rfam family "Bacterial small subunit ribosomal RNA", at positions 503 to 807 of the family's 1533-position model. The record is from RNAcentral.